UAAUAUGUGUGGUAGUUUUAGUACAUUUGUGUUGAUGCUCAUUAAGUUCGGUUAAGUGUACAUUCAAAUGUGGGGGGACCUUUUAUUUUGUUCCGCGGACCAUGUGUUGCCCGGGGAAACAUUAGCUGGCGCACUUAGAGCCACAUGGGGCAUUCAAGCUCAAGAAGCUAAUCGCUAGAAAUUAAACUUUAUUCCUCUGGAGUCAAUGCGGCUAAUGAGUUCUGACGGCAUUUUUGGGGACUUUGUAAGAUGUGUCCACAAUAAAUGGCUGUUGAAACCAAGAACUGCGUUAAGCCUUGAUUAAACUCGAGAGGAGUAACACUGGGUGAGUUUUUUUUUUUCUGUGUUCCAAUAACCACAGUGCAUUUAUUUGAAAACAAUACAACAGGUUUUAGCAUAGCUACACAACAUAAGAAAUAUUUUUAAAGCUUAAUUAGUCACAGCAUGACAGUU
Xiphophorus hellerii (green swordtail) is the source of this 453-nucleotide long non-coding RNA. RefSeq lists it as uncharacterized. The transcript has 2 exons. The record is from RefSeq and is a predicted model, not a curated record. NCBI's taxonomy places the organism in Eukaryota, Metazoa, Chordata, Actinopteri, Cyprinodontiformes, Poeciliidae.